Long non-coding RNA from Harpia harpyja (harpy eagle), 5121 nucleotides. RefSeq lists it as uncharacterized. The record is from RefSeq and is a predicted model, not a curated record. NCBI's taxonomy places the organism in Eukaryota, Metazoa, Chordata, Aves, Accipitriformes, Accipitridae. The transcript is spliced from 2 exons.
GCCGGUCUGUAAUGAACCGGGGAAAAAAAUUAACCGCCCUGUCCUUCCCGUCAGAAGUCUCCCUUCGCUGCUGGCCCUUGGGAGACUUGUGUUUGGCCGGGCGGGGUGGUAUUUUCCACUAGCAAUCCCGCCCCAGGAGACUGGAACAGGCCUGCUGAUUCACAGCGUGACAACACCAGGGUCCCAGAACUAACGCUGUGUUUGGCCAAGAUGAGCUGAUUGCUGUUAACCUUGAGCAAGACAGGUUAGUCUGCACAGCAGGAGAAAACAGCUGUAGGAUUUCAUCCUUAUGGUAGUCAUCUGUCACGAAAAACACAUCUUGGACAAGUCACUCACGAUCUUUAGUGUGCAGUGGGAUUCCUUGCCGAUGCUGCAAAGCGGCAGCCGCAGGUAGGACCUCUCAUCUCCACUCGCUUCCAGUCACAAGGCCUGACAGUGAGGGAAAGUGGUGGUGUUCUAGGGGCUGAACAGGCACAGACUGUGGUGAUAGACACCCUGGGCUUCUGGGGAAACAUGGUAGCUGAUGUGUUCAAACACCUCCCUCCAUUUUCCGUAGUAGUCCCUUCCUAGGGUCUGAACAGAGGGUUCAGUGGAUGCCAGCUUUUGGACUGGCUCACGCCUUAGGUGGCAGCACCAGUGAGCGCAGUGAUGUGCCUCGCAGCUGCAACAAGGGCGUUCUGCAACAUGGCAGCACGGAUGUAGGAGCUCAUUGCCAACAAGGAGGAUGCUUCCUUACCUUCCCACAUCCUGCCCCUCCCCAUUCCCAGACACAGCUCUGGCCCUUUGCUCACGCCGGUGAUAGCUUUUGUCUGACUCACAAGCAGGUUCAACUCACUAUGUUUACAGAACGCAGUCAUCAAAACCUAGGCUUUUGCCAGCUGAUGGAACUGAAUUGGCUUCACACUGGCACCAGCACCAAUGUAACAGAAGCGGCAGGAGUGCAUGACUUGCAGUGGGUUCAGCCUUUUUGGAAGCAUUGAACUAUUAGAAUGACUCAACAUCUCACAGGACUUAGCCACAAGUACUGGGCACAGCAGAAACAUUUGAGGAGUUGCAGUAUGCAUCCUGCCUUUAACACCACAUCCUAAUACCUCUGGCCUCCUGUCUGGCUUGCAGCGUGAACAGGAGGUGGCAUUAACCGCCAGACUUCACACAAUGUGCUGACAACUUUUUCUGACCUUCUUCAAAGUCAGAGAGCAGAGACUGCAAACAAGGCAGAGCGACCUUGCAGCCUGCAGGCUGCCAGCUGGACCAUGUGGAAAACCUCACUGAAGGACUUUGGAUGGACUCCUACAGUACAGCUAAAAAUGCAGAGUCUAAUUCAUGCAGGAGAUGGGUUGGCCUCAUUUCAGCUCUAAGGCCAGGGGCAAUCCAGUCCUGUAGAAUCAAAGAACCAGCCUACAAAUUUCAUUGCUCUCUAUUUCAAAUGCAAAGCAAGUAAGAAGACACGGAGAAGAGAGACAAAAAAGCAAUUAAGAGUGACAUGGUUGAACAAGAGAAGGUAGUGCAAAUGAAGGCUGAGAUAAGAGACAUGAGAACAGGCAUGUAUAAACUGUGCAGAAGCUUUUACUGGUGCUAGACUGUCUGAAAUGACAAGAGGGUUUUUGUAAGUGAAAAGAAUAAGUGAUCUUUUGAAAACAGAUGGUCUGCCAGUUCUGUAACAGUUUAUGUGUGGAUUAAGGCAUUUAGGUAGCUUGUUCCAGAGGAAAGUGCUACCGGUGAAAGCUAUUUCUGUCACCUUCAGCAGUCUGAGAGCCAAAAUGUUCAAAGGAAAGUGGCUGGAGGUUGAGUUGAAUUCCCUGGAGGAGGUCUUGAGGGACCUUGGAAGGCCACAGCACUAUGCAGUCACACCUCAGGAGACCCACCAUGGCCGUCCUUCAGGCUGCUGGGAGAGCAGGACUUAGCAAUAGAUUUUAUACUUCUCCCUGGAUGGAGUUAAACUUUGGGGGUUUGUAAUAUCUGUAAAUCUUAUGGGAAACUAGCCCAGCUCUUGUAGUUCUGACACACCCUGGAUUUUAUAUGGUUCCAAAAGACAUACAUCCGCUGUUUUUACUAUUUUUUUAUCUUAAACUACAGUCCCUAACUGAAAGGCUUCUAUAAUGGAUGCAACUGUGUGAAAAUGCACACGCAUGUGAAAUGCCUCUGUAGUAGAGGCUACACAACUUUUCUUCAAAUCCUUCUCAGUAAUAUGCAGAUGACAGCACUUUUUCUGAUGUUGACUGUCACUGCAGACUCCAUUGUAACACUGAAUUUUUGAGAUUAUAAACAGGAUGCUCUGUAUUUCUAAAACCUUGGAGUACAGAAACAGUUCCAGAAGCAGGGGAACCCCAGAAGACAGCUUUUGAUCAGUAAGUGUACAGCAACUGAACGGAAUGGGAGAGGUGCAAAGAGUGAGCAAUGAAGUGUACAAUAUAGAUGAUCUUAACUCUCUCCAUACUGUCUGGCACAUCGUAGAGGCAUUUAAAUGGUGUGGGUAAAAACUAGGUGGGGAAAAAUCACAGUGGUGUGCAGACUCCUGCAGCUCCAUCUGGCUUAUCUGAACAGAGCUCAUUCAAUUAGCUCAGCAAGUCUCUAAUCAGUAAAAAAAAUCUUAGUUUAACCACUGCCUGCGUCACCACGGCAGAAGGAUAUAGCUCCCAAACUGAGCUGCCUUCUCAUCUGACCAUGUUAACACAUAGCUAUGGGUCAGUCUUUUCAAUCUAAAUGUUAACACACCUAACACACCUAAAUUCGAGGGUGCUUAGGUAAGCUUAGCCAGACACUGGCUUCUGGAUACCUGCCCAGAAAUGGUUCUAAGAGUUUACUUAAGCCUGUGUAGCCUCUGCAGCAGCUCUGCGCUGUGCUGUGAUCCCCUACCAACGGUGAUAAGAGACAGAGCUGCAGCAGCAGUGAGACCUUCUAAACUUCCUGUACAUGUUGCAGGAAGACAGCAUUAGGAACAGAAUACUUGGCACGCUGUCACAAGUCCAGCACUUCUCGUAGCAGGAGAAAUCAGAAUUGGGACUCUUGCGAUCAAAGCUGUUCUGCCUGUGCCACAGAUUCUUUUAUUUUGCUGUUUUGCAUUAGAAAUAAUGAGAGCAUUUUUGCAUUUUCAUAAAUAACAUUCUUGGUCAAAAUCAGUUUACCCAGAAAGCUCAGCUGAACAGCUUUUUUUUCUUCUUAAUUCUUCUAAAUCCACUGCAAAAUACAUCGGUUCUCCGGAAAACAAUUGUUCAGACAGGCCACAACAUUUUUCCUCCCAUCCAGUGCUCUCUCUCCCAACAGUUUCAGCAGCCCUGGAGCGCGUUUGCCAGGUUUGGAGGUUUUUGCCGUUUGCUGACUAGUGGCAAUGGCAUUGGGCCCUAGAGCUUCUCACUGACAUUCACUUCUUUCUCCUUUACCUUCCCUGUUUUAUUUACUUUAAAUGCACUGAAACAACUAGCAAUGUAAAUGUCAAUGAAUCAUAGGCUCAUUAAAUGGACCUAAGUUUGCCUCCAAGUUUUAGCUGAUCUCUCUUAGCCUUGUGAGGGAGGUACUGUGAAAAUGCUUGGAAAGCCAGAGCUUUGAUCUCAGAGGGCAGUGGUGGGAGGCUGAUUAUUAUUUUCUGAAGUUCUCAGGGCAUAAGUUUUGGACACAAAAAUGGGAAAAAAAGUCUUGAAUGAAAAUCAAGAGCAAAAUAUAUCCCUCAGAUUUUUGUCAGGAUGGUGACAACUGCUCAUCCUAAACCAAGGGUCUAGCCUCAUAUCUUCAAAUAUUAGGCUAGACACAGUAAUGUUAAACUGCUUCAUGUGCACUGGCGCUUAAGGUGCUGCCGCAAAAGGUACAGCUGAAUUUAUAGAGCAGAUGAUCCUCUCUAGUGUACAUUACACCUAAAGACGUGCCAUGACACCGACAUUAAGUAUUGCACUGUAAAUACAGAGAUGUAUGUUAAAACAUUGCUCUGAGCUCAUAUAGGCUUUGCUCUGUUGAUUCUAGUUGACUGUGGCCAUUGGGCUGAGGAGUCAAAGGUGGCAAGGCAUAAUAGUAGUCACUUUGAAUUUUUGAUGAUGGAGACUGGUCCAUCUUGGCUCCAGUAUGUCUCAAUUUUAAAAUCUUCUCAAGCGUAGACUGAAAUGUUUGCCACCACUGAACACCACAUACGCAGAUACAGACACUCUCCACCCCACUCCCCACCUUAUUUCAUACUUGAAGAGGUGCUUGCAAACAUGAACUUUAAAAGGUAUAGUCAAAAGGGCAGUCAGGAGCUCUGUGGGACAGGUAAAAAUAUAUAAUAAAUCUCCUCUCUCAGAACUGCAUCUCAGCUCUUGCUGCCUAUGUUUUGAGCCCAGAGUUGGAUGUCUGAACUUUCCCCCGAGUAGCACAUGACAGAGCGAAUUUGUGCCAGGUUCCAAAACCAGCUCCCAGAGACCUCUCCUGACCACAGACAGGAGCCAGUGCAAGCAGCGUGACCUUACUGUGGGGUCACUCUGCACUGGUCUUUUAAAAAGUAAGUCUUUUGCUUUCUGCUUUACACUUCUGUAAUUGCAUUAAUGGAUUCAUGUCUGAGUUAGUUACUGCAAGCAAUACAAAGAGAAAAAAAUAUAGCACUUACUAAAUAAAUGUGUGACUGCAAGAAAACUAGGAAGAGUAGUGCAAAUUAAAGCUGUUUAUAUAUUUGUAGAGACUGCAUAAGAUCCUGUAGCAAACACCUCAUGGCUUUUGGUAAUAUAGUGCUGUAUUUUAUAUCAACUGUAAAUUGAUGACAAACAUUUGUUAACAUAAACCUUGUCUACGGAAUAUAAACUUACGAUGCCUUAAUACAUUCAAGACAUUCAACAUGUUAAUGAAUAGCAACAGUGGCAACAAUGAUGAUGCAUCAGCUACAACAUUAUGCCAGCUGCGUUCGUACACAGUAAUAAUUCAGACCAUCCCUUUUCUUAGUUUAAAAAUGCUCAGAUGCACUUCCUUGCAGAGCAAGCAUUGAAAAACAAGUGGGAAAUCAUGAAAGAAUUGUACCUAAAAUUUUGCAAAUCUUCAUUGUUUGGCUUUGUUUCCUCUUACUAUACACUAUUAACAUGAGAAUUUGUGUUUGAACUAAGUCAAAAUAAAGCCAUGGUUCACUUGCCAGAGCAUGGACAAUAAAACAUUGCAUUGUAAAUCACA